This 359-nucleotide long non-coding RNA is filed under the name Equus caballus (horse). Its description in RNAcentral is "lncRNA (ENSECAG00000045551.1)". Lineage: Eukaryota; Metazoa; Chordata; Mammalia; Perissodactyla; Equidae. The record is from RNAcentral.
CCUGUUUCCCCAGCACACCUGGCUCCUGCCCACCUCGGCCUGCCUCGUUCCUGCCAUCCACCUCAGCUGGCUCAGGGACACCUUCUCAGCCCUGGCCGGACACCUGUUUCUCUAUCACAUAGCUCCCUGCUUCUAUUUUCACUUUGGGAAACGUCUUUGAAAAAGUUGCCUGCUGUUCAUGUCUCCAGUUCUUAUCCUGCCUCAACCCACAGCAUCCUGGCAUCAGCCUCUACCAAGACGAGAAAACAAUGUUGACCAAGGUCACUGAUGAUGUCCAUACUAUGAAAGCCAGUGGAUGUGGCCCUUUCCUCUAUGUAUUUGUUAUCACACAGUAGCAAUUGUUCAUUGUUAACAAAAAA